RNAcentral lists this long non-coding RNA (141 nucleotides) under dengue virus type 2. Its description in RNAcentral is "Dengue virus type 2 partial sfRNA1". Lineage: Riboviria; Orthornavirae; Kitrinoviricota; Flasuviricetes; Amarillovirales; Flaviviridae. The record is from RNAcentral.
CAGAAGUCAGGUCGGAUUAAGCCAUAGUACGGAAAAAACUAUGCUACCUGUGAGCCCCGUCCAAGGACGUUAAAAGAAGUCAGGCCACUACAAGUGCCAUAGCUUGAGUAAACUAUGCAGCCUGUAGCUCCACCUGAGGUG